This 1085-nucleotide ribosomal RNA is filed under the name Neisseria sicca. Its description in RNAcentral is "bacterial SSU rRNA". It matches the Rfam family "Bacterial small subunit ribosomal RNA", at positions 90 to 1173 of the family's 1533-position model. Lineage: Bacteria; Pseudomonadati; Pseudomonadota; Betaproteobacteria; Neisseriales; Neisseriaceae. The record is from RNAcentral.
GGCGAGUGGCGAACGGGUGAGUAACAUAUCGGAACGUACCGAGCAGUGGGGGAUAACUAAUCGAAAGAUUAGCUAAUACCGCAUAUAUUCUGAGGAAGAAAGCAGGGGACCAUUUGGCCUUGCGCUGUUUGAGCGGCCGAUAUCUGAUUAGCUGGUUGGUGGGGUAAAGGCCUACCAAGGCGACGAUCAGUAGCGGGUCUGAGAGGAUGAUCCGCCACACUGGGACUGAGACACGGCCCAGACUCCUACGGGAGGCAGCAGUGGGGAAUUUUGGACAAUGGGCGCAAGCCUGAUCCAGCCAUGCCGCGUGUCUGAAGAAGGCCUUCGGGUUGUAAAGGACUUUUGUCAGGGAAGAAAAGGGCGGGGUUAAUACCCCUGUCUGAUGACGGUACCUGAAGAAUAAGCACCGGCUAACUACGUGCCAGCAGCCGCGGUAAUACGUAGGGUGCGAGCGUUAAUCGGAAUUACUGGGCGUAAAGCGGGCGCAGACGGUUACUUAAGCAGGAUGUGAAAUCCCCGGGCUCAACCUGGGAACUGCGUUCUGAACUGGGUGACUAGAGUGUGUCAGAGGGAGGUAGAAUUCCACGUGUAGCAGUGAAAUGCGUAGAGAUGUGGAGGAAUACCGAUGGCGAAGGCAGCCUCCUGGGAUAACACUGACGUUCAUGCCCGAAAGCGUGGGUAGCAAACAGGAUUAGAUACCCUGGUAGUCCACGCCCUAAACGAUGUCGAUUAGCUGUUGGGCAGCAUGACUGCUUAGUAGCGAAGCUAACGCGUGAAAUCGACCGCCUGGGGAGUACGGUCGCAAGAUUAAAACUCAAAGGAAUUGACGGGGACCCGCACAAGCGGUGGAUGAUGUGGAUUAAUUCGAUGCAACGCGAAGAACCUUACCUGGUCUUGACAUGUACGGAACCCUCCAGAGACGGAGGGGUGCCUUCGGGAGCCGUAACACAGGUGCUGCAUGGCUGUCGUCAGCUCGUGUCGUGAGAUGUUGGGUUAAGUCCCGCAACGAGCGCAACCCUUGUCAUUAGUUGCCAUCAUUAAGUUGGGCACUCUAAUGAGACUGCCGGUGACAAGCCGGAGGAAGG